GGUCCUGAAGCUCUGACGGUGGAGCGGCCGGUCGAAACCCGGUAGGGGGCGGUUCGAGCACGCCCGGGACCACCA
Molecule: transfer RNA, 75 nt
Filed under: Actinomycetota bacterium
Lineage: Bacteria; Bacillati; Actinomycetota
Description: tRNA-Phe
Source: RNAcentral